CAACCAUCAAGCCCCCGGGCUUGUGUUGGGGACCUGCGGCUGCCGCAGGCCCCGAAAACCAGUGGCGGGCUCGCUGUCACCCCGAGCGUAGUAGUUUACACCUCGCCCAGGGCGCGACGCGGGUUUCCCGGCCGUUAAACACCCCCCAUCUAAA
Molecule: unclassified non-coding RNA, 154 nt
Filed under: Staphylotrichum boninense
Lineage: Eukaryota; Fungi; Ascomycota; Sordariomycetes; Sordariales; Chaetomiaceae
Description: partial internal transcribed spacer 2
Source: RNAcentral